RNAcentral lists this transfer RNA (72 nucleotides) under Marmota marmota marmota (Alpine marmot). It matches the Rfam family "tRNA". From Rfam's summary of the family: Transfer RNA (tRNA) molecules are approximately 80 nucleotides in length. Their secondary structure includes four short double-helical elements and three loops (D, anti-codon, and T loops). RNAcentral also lists the same sequence under 3 other names. Lineage: Eukaryota; Metazoa; Chordata; Mammalia; Rodentia; Sciuridae. The record is from Rfam by way of RNAcentral.
UGGGGUGUGACUCAGUGGUAAAGUGCUUGCCUAGCAUAUGCAAGACCCUAGGUUCAAUCCCUAGCACCAAAA